Molecule: long non-coding RNA, 310 nt
Filed under: Phoenix dactylifera (date palm)
Lineage: Eukaryota; Viridiplantae; Streptophyta; Magnoliopsida; Arecales; Arecaceae
Description: long non-coding RNA (PDAC_LNC007699)
Source: RNAcentral
AGUUGUAGUAGUAGUGGGGGAACAGGCCAUUUAAAAAGACAUCAAGAGAGUCAUAGGAUGCAUGAUUCUCAUGCUCAAAGUACCCUUAAUAUACAAGGGGGAUCACGUGUAGGUAAUUUUGCAUAUAAUCAUGAAAAUCAAGGAAAAGCACUUGUAAAAUGGAUAGUUAAGGAUGAAUUACCUUUUAGUUUAUGUGAAUCUUUUAAUUUUGAAGAAUAUGUUCAAUUAAACCUACAACCUGCUUACAAAAGAACUAGUAGGCGUACAUUUAGAAGAGUAGCUAUGACUAACUUUUUAGCAAUGAGACAAA